GCUUAGAGUUUGAUCCUGGCUCAGAUUGAACGCUGGCGGCAUGCUUUACACAUGCAAGUCGAACGGUAACAGGUCUUCGGAUGCUGACGAGUGGCGAACGGGUGAGUAAUACAUCGGAACGUGCCUAGUAGUGGGGGAUAACUACUCGAAAGAGUAGCUAAUACCGCAUGAGAUCUACGGAUGAGAGCAGGGGACCCUCGGGCCUUGUGCUACUAGAGCGGCUGAUGGCAGAUUAGGUAGUUGGUGGGGUAAAGGCUUACCAAGCCUGCGAUCUGUAGCUGGUCUGAGAGGACGACCAGCCACACUGGGACUGAGACACGGCCCAGACUCCUACGGGAGGCAGCAGUGGGGAAUUUUGGACAAUGGGCGAAAGCCUGAUCCAGCAAUGCCGCGUGCAGGAUGAAGGCCCUCGGGUUGUAAACUGCUUUUGUACGGAACGAAAAGCCUGGGGCUAAUAUCCUCGGGUCAUGACGGUACCGUAAGAAUAAGCACCGGCUAACUACGUGCCAGCAGCCGCGGUAAUACGUAGGGUGCAAGCGUUAAUCGGAAUUACUGGGCGUAGAGCGUGCGCAGGCGGUUUUGUAAGACAGUGGUGAAAUCCCCGGGCUCAGCCUGGGAACUGCCAUUGUGACUGCGAGGCUAGAGUGCGGCAGAGGGUGAUGGAAUUCCGCGUGUAGCACUGAAAUGCGUAGAUAUGCCGAGGAACACCGAU
RNAcentral lists this ribosomal RNA (712 nucleotides) under uncultured bacterium. Its description in RNAcentral is "bacterial SSU rRNA". It matches the Rfam family "Bacterial small subunit ribosomal RNA", at positions 1 to 713 of the family's 1533-position model. The record is from RNAcentral.